ACCACGGGAUCUUCGGAUCUUGAGGCUAAAGAUUGCACCGGCUUGCCGGUGCCGUCACCAGGGGAUGGGCCCGCGUCCGAUUAGCUAGUUGGUGAGGUAAUGGCUCACCAAGGCUACGAUCGGUAGCUGGUCUGAGAGGAUGAUCAGCCACACUGGAACUGAAACACGGUCCAGACUCCUACGGGAGGCAGCAGUGAGGAAUAUUGCGCAAUGGGGGAAACCCUGACGCAGCAACGCCGCGUGGGUGAAGAAGGCCUUCGGGUCGUAAAGCCCUUUCGGACGGGACGAACGCUUUGCGGUGAAAGCCGCGAAGUCUGACGGUACCGUAGGAAGAAGCACCGGCUAACUCCGUGCCAGCAGCCCGCGGUAAUACGGAGGGUGCGAGCGUUGUUCGGAAUUACUGGGCGUAAAGCGCGUGUAGGCGGCCUUGCAAGUCANGCGUGAAAGCCCUCGGCUUAACCGGGGAAGUGCGUCUGAAACUGCUUGGCUUGAGUACGGGA
Molecule: ribosomal RNA, 500 nt
Filed under: uncultured bacterium
Lineage: Bacteria
Description: bacterial SSU rRNA
Rfam family: Bacterial small subunit ribosomal RNA
Source: RNAcentral